RNAcentral lists this non-coding RNA (102 nucleotides) under uncultured Bulleidia sp. RNAcentral's name for it is "FMN riboswitch (RFN element)". It matches the Rfam family "FMN riboswitch aptamer (RFN element)", at positions 8 to 131 of the family's 138-position model. Rfam says of the family: The RFN element is a highly conserved domain that is found frequently in the 5'-untranslated regions of prokaryotic mRNAs that encode for flavin mononucleotide (FMN) biosynthesis and transport proteins. This element is a metabolite-dependent riboswitch that directly binds FMN in the absence of proteins. The record is from RNAcentral. Lineage: Bacteria; Bacillati; Bacillota; Erysipelotrichia; Erysipelotrichales; Erysipelotrichaceae.
CUCAGGGCAAGGUGAAAUUCCUGACCGGCGGUAUACCCCGCGAGCCUCAGGGCUGAACCGGUUUGAUUCCGGUGGCGACAGUAAAGUCUGGAUGAAAGAGAU